GACGAACGCUGGCGGCGUGCUUAACACAUGCAAGUCGAACGGAAAGGCCCCUUUGGGGGUACUCGAGUGUCGAACGGGUGAGUAACACGUGAGUAACCUGCCCUUGACUUCGGGAUAACUUCAGGAAACUGGGGCUAAUACCGGAUAGGAAUCCUUGCUGCAUGGUGGGGGUUGGAAAGCUACGGCGGUUUUGGAUGGACUCGCGGCGUAUCGGCUUGUUGGUGGGGUAGUGGCUUACCGAGGCUUUGACGGGUAGCCGGCCUGAGAGGGCGACCGGCCACCUUGGGUCUGAGGGGCGGCCCCGACUCCUACGGGUGGCAGCAGUGCGGAAUACUGCACGAUGGGCGGCGCCCUGAUGCAGCAACGCCGCGUGCGGGAUGACGGCCUUCGGGUUGUAGACCGCUUUCAGAAGGGGCGAAGCUUGUCGUGACGGUACCUGCAGAAGAAGCACCGGCUAACUACGUG
This 465-nucleotide ribosomal RNA is filed under the name uncultured bacterium. Its description in RNAcentral is "partial 16S ribosomal RNA". It matches the Rfam family "Bacterial small subunit ribosomal RNA", at positions 28 to 507 of the family's 1533-position model. The record is from RNAcentral.